UGGAUGUGUAAUGAGACAGUCCUUUCUCAAAAUGUGAAUACUCAGCGCAUGGCAUAAAGAUUUGGUAGGUAAAGUGAUAUAUUGUAAUUUGGGAAUUUUGAGAUUAGAAUGAGAAGGAAAAAAAAAAAGACAUCAUGACUCUGCAGGGAGUUCUUUCUCAAAACCAACCAUGUCAAGGGAGAGACGAUGGAUUUUAUUUGAGUUGUCUGAAGUGCUGGGGAUGUUCUAUCAUGUGCUUAGGGCAGCGGAAAUAUUGUUAUUAUGAGUGACUGUAGGUUUUUGACAAUAAAGGUAGAAAAUAAAUUCUAGGUAAGAGCCAUGGCUAGAUUGCUAAUAGGAUUCUUCAAGAUGUAAACAAAACACUGGAAAAAAAACAAGAUAGCAUGUGUGUUUGUUCAUGCUUUACUGUGUAAAGGAAUUCUAUAGUGUUAGGAGUACAAAUCUGUGUUCCUUGCACUAUACCGCUAUAUUAACCUUUGGGCCCACCUCUCUCGCAUCCAACCGGCUCCUCCCCUCUCCCUGGCACAGAAAAGGUUAUAAAAAAAAAACAACCUUCUGUACCUACCCAAUUCC
Non-coding RNA from Pelobates cultripes (western spadefoot toad), 573 nucleotides. NCBI's taxonomy places the organism in Eukaryota, Metazoa, Chordata, Amphibia, Anura, Pelobatidae. The record is from the annotation of a GenBank genome assembly.